Aegilops tauschii subsp. strangulata is the source of this 737-nucleotide long non-coding RNA. RefSeq lists it as uncharacterized. The record is from RefSeq and is a predicted model, not a curated record. NCBI's taxonomy places the organism in Eukaryota, Viridiplantae, Streptophyta, Magnoliopsida, Poales, Poaceae.
CUCCUCAUCCUCCCACACGCGCGCCUCCUUCCUCCUCUCGCACCCGCGCCUCCCUCUCCUCUUCCUCUCGCCCCUCGCGCCGCCACUACUGCCUCCUUCCCCGCCGCCGCUCGGCCUCCUACCCUCAUGUCCUCCUCCUUCCACCCCCUCCGAUCUGGCGCCACCCAAACCCCAACCCCCCGCCCUGGCUCCGGCUCCCGCCGGAGGGUAGGAGGAAUGGCGAGGCGAGGCAAAGGCGGCGGCGUAUGGGACGUGGCGUGGGGAGGUGUGGCCCAGGGGGUCGGCGCAGCCACGGCUUCUCGUCGUCUCCGCCGUCACCUGGGCGCUGCCAUGGGAGAGCUCGAGCUCGAAGGGGGAGCAGCGGGGAGAGGAACGUGAGGCCAUGGGGGAGGAAGAAGAUGGCCCCCCUCGUUCCCAAGGUUGGUCUUCGCGUGACGCUGGUUAAGGUUGGUCUGCUGUCAGCAGGUGCUCAUGUUUCUCGUCGGUUCGUCCUGCUGCCUCUUCGGUCAUCGCUCUACAGGUCAACCCAUUUUCUCCUUGACCUCUCAGCUCUCCAGGCCUGCGCUUGCGUUAUUGCGGUCGUGUAUCUUCCUUGUGUUCUUAUUGGUAGAAAGCUGGCGUCUAAGAGUGUCAUUCUUUGCUUGUAUUUUUGUGCUUUUGUCACUUAUAUGAAUCUUGGUGGGACCUAAUUUCCUUCUAUACAUUUCUGCCAUGUGAUGCUGAUUUGUUUGUUGGAA